CUUCAGUUAUGGAUGAAAACAGAUGACUGGGAAAUUGCACCCUGUCUGACAAAUGGCAGGAUGGCAUCGCUCCAUGGGCUGCCACCGCAACUGCUGCUACUGAAGGAAAGGACGGGAACAAAUCGCCUCCCGCUGCUCCAAUUACUGAGCACGCUCAUCUCACAGAGGGACUGCAGUCAACUCCAUGGGAGUGGGAUGGAAAAACACUGGCUUGCGAGAGGGCACAUGAUGAUGGGGUCAAGGCUAUCCACUGUUGUUCCCAUCUGCCUACCAGGAGUCACGGACCCACGUUUCCCUUCGAGAGUGUGUGUGCAUUUGUUUUAGUCACCAUCUGCACAGAGAAGCCAGCUGUGUGGAGGCUACAGCUGGGGUUGGAGGCGUGGGAGGCUGUGGUGGGCAGUAGCAGAGCUCAGAUCGACGGGGUGUCCAGGGGACGGUGUGAGCUCAGGGACGAAGAGAGGAAGUAACAGCAGGACAGACGGAGAGGGCCUCAUGACGGGAGACUGCACAGCGUUCCAAACAUCACAACACAGAAUGAGAAGCUCAUUGUUCAUGUCUGCAGCCAUGUCUAAAAGUGUCAAUGUAAGCUGUGGCAUGCUGGUUUGAGGGGAGAUGAUCUUGGGUAGCUGCCGGUUGCCUGUCACAGCGAUGUUUGUAAGCUGCACAGAUAAAGAUCACCAUUGCUAGAAAUCAGGAUCUUGAGAACAUUCAUAUCAUUCAGAUCAUUUAUAGCCCCAUAUAGGAGCGAGUCACUUUGUUCCAUACCUAUAGACUGAACCAUAGAUGUUAAGACUUUUAUAUCGAGUCGCAUUGUCAUCUUCAGAAAUAAAAACUUCUCCAGUGAUCUAUUUUUUCCAAAAAUCAA
Lates calcarifer (barramundi perch) is the source of this 865-nucleotide long non-coding RNA. RefSeq lists it as uncharacterized. The record is from RefSeq and is a predicted model, not a curated record. The transcript has 2 exons. Lineage: Eukaryota; Metazoa; Chordata; Actinopteri; Centropomidae.